RNAcentral lists this long non-coding RNA (206 nucleotides) under Elaeis guineensis (African oil palm). RNAcentral's name for it is "long non-coding RNA (EGUI_LNC025711)". The record is from RNAcentral. Lineage: Eukaryota; Viridiplantae; Streptophyta; Magnoliopsida; Arecales; Arecaceae.
ACCUUUCUAAUUUAUUGUUUGUUAUAACUCAAUAACAUUUGCUAAUACCAUCUCCACCAAAAAAAAAAGUAUUUGCUAAUACUAUUUAGGCAGUCAUGAGAUCGAUCGCAUUAGAAGCCUAUAUGCUCAUGCAGGUGGCAGGAUCUCCACAAAUUGCUCCAAAUACAUCUCAGACUCAACCAAUAACUCCUAAUUAUUUCUCAAUA